UAAUACGGAGGGUGCGAGCGUUAAUCGGAAUUACUGGGCGUAAAGCGCGCGUAGGCGGCUUGGUCAGUCGGAUGUGAAAGCCCCGGGCUUAACCUGGGAAUUGCAUUCGAUACUGCUGAGCUAGAGUAUGGGAGAGGGAAGUGGAAUUUCCGGUGUAGCGGUGAAAUGCGUAGAUAUCGGAAGGAACACCAGUGGCGAAGGCGACUUCCUGGCCCAAAACUGACGCUGAGGUGCGAAAGCGUGGGUAGCGAACAGGAUUAGAUACCCUGGUAGUCCACGCCGUAAACGAUGAGGACUAGAUGUCGGGAGGAUUACCUUUCGGUGUCGCAGCUAACGCGUUAAGUUCUCCGCCUGGGGAGUACGGUGGCAACACUA
RNAcentral lists this ribosomal RNA (375 nucleotides) under uncultured Gammaproteobacteria bacterium. RNAcentral describes it as "bacterial SSU rRNA". It matches the Rfam family "Bacterial small subunit ribosomal RNA", at positions 521 to 896 of the family's 1533-position model. Lineage: Bacteria; Pseudomonadati; Pseudomonadota; Gammaproteobacteria. The record is from RNAcentral.